UGAGCCCAGCACUGGCAGUGUUGGUGGCACUCACGUGGUGGUUGUGGCACCAGCACUGGCAGUGUCUGUACCAGCA
This 76-nucleotide microRNA precursor is filed under the name Chlorocebus sabaeus (green monkey). RNAcentral describes it as "miRNA (ENSCSAG00000020338.1)". Lineage: Eukaryota; Metazoa; Chordata; Mammalia; Primates; Cercopithecidae. The record is from RNAcentral.